Molecule: ribosomal RNA, 168 nt
Filed under: Agastache rugosa
Lineage: Eukaryota; Viridiplantae; Streptophyta; Magnoliopsida; Lamiales; Lamiaceae
Description: 5.8S ribosomal RNA
Rfam family: 5.8S ribosomal RNA
About the family: 5.8S ribosomal RNA (5.8S rRNA) is a component of the large subunit of the eukaryotic ribosome. It is transcribed by RNA polymerase I as part of the 45S precursor that also contains 18S and 28S rRNA. Functionally, it is thought that 5.8S rRNA may be involved in ribosome translocation.
Source: RNAcentral
UCAUAACGACUCUCGGCAACGGAUAUCUCCGUGCUCGCAUCGAUGAAGAACGUAGCGAAAUGCGAUACUUGGUGUGAAUUGCAGAAUCCCGUGAACCAUCGAGUCUUUGAACGCAAGUUGCGCCCGAAGCCAUUAGGCCGAGGGCACGUCUGCCUGGGCGUCACGCAU